This 1313-nucleotide ribosomal RNA is filed under the name Campylobacter lari. Its description in RNAcentral is "partial 23S ribosomal RNA". It matches the Rfam family "Bacterial large subunit ribosomal RNA", at positions 1625 to 2925 of the family's 2925-position model. Lineage: Bacteria; Pseudomonadati; Campylobacterota; Epsilonproteobacteria; Campylobacterales; Campylobacteraceae. The record is from RNAcentral.
AGUUUAGCUAAUGUUGCCCGUACCGUAAACCGACACAGGUGGGUGGGAUGAGUAUUCUAAGGCGCGUGGAAGAACUCUCUUUAAGGAACUCUGCAAAAUAGCACCGUAUCUUCGGUAUAAGGUGUGGUUCGCUUUGUAUUAGAAUUUACUUCGAAAGCAAAGAAACUUACAACAAAGAGUCCCUCCCGACUGUUUACCAAAAACACAGCACUCUGCUAACUCGUAAGAGGAUGUAUAGGGUGUGACGCCUGCCCGGUGCUCGAAGGUUAAUUGAUGGGGUUAGCAUUAGCGAAGCUCUUGAUCGAAGCCCGAGUAAACGGCGGCCGUAACUAUAACGGUCCUAAGGUAGCGAAAUUCCUUGUCGGUUAAAUACCGACCUGCAUGAAUGGCGUAACGAGAUGGGAGCUGUCUCAAAGAGGGAUCCAGUGAAAUUGUAGUGGAGGUGAAAAUUCCUCCUACCCGCGGCAAGACGGAAAGACCCCGUGGACCUUUACUACAGCUUGACACUGCUAUUUGGAUAAGAAUGUGCAGGAUAGGUGGGAGGCUUUGAGUAAUAGACGCCAGUUUAUUAUGAGCCAUUGUUGAGAUACCACUCUUUCUUAUUUGGGUAGCUAACCAGCUUGAGUUAUCCUCAAGUGGGACAAUGUCUGGUGGGUAGUUUGACUGGGGCGGUCGCCUCCCAAAUAAUAACGGAGGCUUACAAAGGUUGGCUCAGAACGGUUGGAAAUCGUUCGUAGAGUAUAAAGGUAUAAGCCAGCUUAACUGCAAGACAUACAAGUCAAGCAGAGACGAAAGUCGGUCUUAGUGAUCCGGUGGUUCUGUGUGGAAGGGCCAUCGCUCAAAGGAUAAAAGGUACCCCGGGGAUAACAGGCUGAUCUCCCCCAAGAGCUCACAUCGACGGGGAGGUUUGGCACCUCGAUGUCGGCUCAUCGCAUCCUGGGGCUGGAGCAGGUCCCAAGGGUAUGGCUGUUCGCCAUUUAAAGCGGUACGCGAGCUGGGUUCAGAACGUCGUGAGACAGUUCGGUCCCUAUCUGCCGUGGGCGUAAGAAGAUUGAAGAGAUUUGACCCUAGUACGAGAGGACCGGGUUGAACAAACCACUGGUGUAGCUGUUGUUCUGCCAAGAGCAUCGCAGCGUAGCUAAGUUUGGAACGGAUAAACGCUGAAAGCAUCUAAGCGUGAAGCCAACUCUAAGAUGAAUCUUCUCUAAGCUCUCUAGAAGACUACUAGUUUGAUAGGCUGGGUGUGUAAUGGAUGAAAGUCCUUUAGCUGACCAGUACUAAUAGAGCGUUUGGCUUAUCUUUUUUAUAAGCAU